UUUUUCUCCUUCAGCGUUGUCUUGAUGUCUUUUCCCUGGCUCUGUGGAUCCUCUGGAAGGUCUCACAGCUGCACCAUCAAACAAUUCAGAUACUGGAAAAUAAUAUUUCCCACCUAAAAUUAGAUGUGAGUUUGUGUGGUGGUUUGGAAAUGCUUCCUUUGCAAUUUCUGUAAGUGCCUCUAUAGAGAAUAUAGGCUGAAACUGCAGAACAGCCUGAGAAGCUUAACUCUCCUGUGGCUUCAGCAGGAGCCAUUCCUCCUAAUUUCUGACUUUCAGAGAGCGAACCUGGGUGUACUCAGAGAGGAGGAGACAGAGACCCUGGUGCAUCUCUUCUCAUCCAACUGAUCAAAGGAAGAGUGGUGGGUGGGGAUGAGGCUGACUUCUGAGCUCCCUUUUCAAGUUUAAUUUUUUGCUGUGUCUCACUUUUUCUUUCAGAGCCAUCUGCAUUUGCUAAGGAAGGAAUAAUGCUCUUGCUUUGUAAUUAAAUGUGCCUGACGUGCCUGGCUCCCAGAGCACUUGCAGCCAGGGAGCACAGAACGGGAGAGUGACAGCUGUGAAGAAGCGCUGAUGGUGGCCACGUUAGGAUGAUUUGUAGGGUUGGUGACAGCAAGAGGCCUCUGCAGCCCACGGGAAGCCACAGAGCUUCAGAGACUGUAAAGCAACUGGCUCAGAAUCGAGUCCUGAGGUCUUUACGCAGUUCUUAACCAGUCCUUGUGCAAGAGAAGAGCAUCUUGGGUGCAGAUAUUACAGAAGCCUGCAAACCUGAAGAACACCAAGAGAGUGAACACAGGACCUGCACCCAUCGCAGCGUUCAGCUGCCAGACCUUCACAUCCCAGGAUGGCCCCUGUAAUAGCUGCACACGUGGAACGAGAUUUACUCAGUGAAUGGUGCUGCUGAUGGAUGCUGAGCGUCGUUUGGGGACAAAGAGGUGCAGAUGUCUCGGCUGUAUGGAGCAGCAAUGGGGGGGGACAGGACUCUCGAUUAUUUGUUCAAAGUUGCCUCUGCAGUGGACGGUCUUAGGAAGCCACGGCCAGGUGAUGAAUGGUCGGUUUCCUGCAGCUAGCAUAAAGCCGGCGCAUAUUCCUCCUUGUGUGCCCUGGGUAAUUUUCCAGAAAUUAAUGUUUGUGCUAUUUCUGAUAUAGAUUGUAGCAGACUUGCUGGGUGACCUGCUGCUGCCCAUGGCCAGUACCAACGGCCAGGACAUCCAUCGUGAGCGCAGUUCCCUCCUGUGAAAUGGCUUUGCCCUUCAUCUCCAAUGCACGGCGAGUUUGUAACUGUGAACUGCAGGGAACACUGCGCUUAAAGCUGGGAGGAUGCAGGGGAGGAACCCAGCUACGGGGUUCCUUUUUUUUUUUUUUUUUUUUGGUAAAUGACAGUGUGACAGUGAUAAGUACACAUCUGAGGUGGCAUUCAUGCAGCGGAUUUGAGCUAUUCUAAAGCAUCUAAACAAGAGAUGCCUGACUGAUCCCCAAACUUCUGUUCCCAGCCAUUGCCCUCUGACUCACUGGCUUGUUUUGGUUUGGUGCAAAUCUCUCUCCUCUUUCCAUUCUUCUCAGCCAGCAUCUUUCAGCUGGUUUUGACACUUCUUAAAUUUAGGAUGCAGGUGGACUGCCAGGCACCGCUCUCCAUACAGGUACAGAAGAGCGAGGUCAAAACACGGUACCAGCUCCACUUUGUGCACCUUCUCCUGGUGAGCCCUCCCAGUGCUCCUUCUGCAAGUGUUUUUUUUUUAUACCCCUGCUGGGGGUUAUAAAAAAUGCAUUUUUCUUGGCUUAAAAAAGUAAAUUUAGGCACUACUUUUUGUGUUUUAAGACUCUAAGAAAUAUGUGUACUUUGAUUUAAAAAUGCCAUUGUGUCACAAUUUAUGCCCCCUUGAGCCUAGCUCUUUAUGAGUUUUUCAUACUGGAAUAUUGCUGUUAUUUAUUAAAUCCCUGAUAAAGCUGCACUUAAUACUCCCAUAAUAGAAUAUGCAUCUUUAAAUCUGCUGAAUAUGUGGUUUGUCACUGAUGCAAAGUGUACUGAUUAAUUAAAUAAGACUUAGAGAUUCAUAAAGCAAUUGCUGCAAAAUGAAAUGUUAUUUACAUCUAAGUAUAUUAUCAAUUAUGGAAACUUAAUUUUUCCCUUACACAAUCUGUCUUGAAAUUCCACUGAUAGUGUAGUAGUCUCUGAUGAUUUAAUGAUUUAAAACUAAUUUUCAGUAUUGAGCACGCUUGCAAAAAAUCAGCAGUGUUUUUCAAAACAAAUAAAGUUGAUAUUUUGCAUAAUGGCA
This 2270-nucleotide long non-coding RNA is filed under the name Anas platyrhynchos platyrhynchos (common mallard). RNAcentral's name for it is "lncRNA (ENSAPLG00000029282.1)". The record is from RNAcentral. Lineage: Eukaryota; Metazoa; Chordata; Aves; Anseriformes; Anatidae.